CCAGCUCCAGCGGUCAAAACAGCAUGAGUGGAUAUGAUGAGUAUUGUAGGAACAUUUGAGUUAUUUCAAUCAGAAAAUUUCACAGGCAGCCAAUAAACAGUCAAGAGCAGUUUAUAACUCUAGAGGAAACUGGAGGAUCCACUUUGCACCAUGAGUUUGUGAAAUCUGGAUUAAAAAAUUACCUGUUCGGUGUUUCUCAUGCAAACUUUUCUUCUAGCAUGUAAUACUGAGUAAACUAAAACUAUUUUCUUCCGCUUUUCUCAGUUAACAUUUUUGGUAAUAUACUUAAGAGUGGUGUUAUCUGAGUUGAGCAGUUUAAGUGUGGUGAGUGGAUCCUUCAGCACACCACAGUGAACACACUGCGGGUAUGCACUUUUCUGGAGAACUCAAGGUGCUAGAUCCCUGAUGCAAAGAGAAGCAUUUCUCAUGUUCAUUCUAGUUUAUAUUUCCAUUUAAAAUCUUUAGGUUAAGUUUAAGCUUUUUAAAGGUAGUUUUGAGAAUUGAGACACAAUACUAAUACGGUAGGAAUUGGUGAGGCCUUGACUUAAAGCUUUCUUUGUACUGUGAUUUC
Molecule: long non-coding RNA, 571 nt
Filed under: Rattus norvegicus (Norway rat)
Lineage: Eukaryota; Metazoa; Chordata; Mammalia; Rodentia; Muridae
Description: long non-coding RNA NONRATT015392
Source: RNAcentral